CACGUAGGCGGAUCUUUAAGUCAGGGGUGAAAUCCUGGAGCUCAACUCCAGAACUGCCUUUGAUACUGAGGACCUUGAGUUCGGGAGAGGUGAGUGGAACUGCGAGUGUAGAGGUGAAAUUCGUAGAUAUUCGCAAGAACACCAGUGGCGAAGGCGGCUCACUGGCCCGAUACUGACGCUGAGGUGCGAAAGCGUGGGGAGCAAACA
Molecule: ribosomal RNA, 207 nt
Filed under: uncultured bacterium
Lineage: Bacteria
Description: partial 16S ribosomal RNA
Rfam family: Bacterial small subunit ribosomal RNA
Source: RNAcentral